AUACGGAGGGUCCGAGCGUUAUCCGGAAUCAUUGGGUUUAAAGGGUCCGUAGGCGGGAAUCUAAGUCAGUGGUGAAAUCUUGCAGCUCAACUGUAAAAUUGCCAUUGAUACUGGAUUUCUCGAAUUAGUGUGAAGUGAUUAGAAUGUGUAGUGUAGCGGUGAAAUGCAUAGAUAUUACACAGAAUACCAAUUGCGAAGGCAGAUCACUAACACUAUAUUGACGCUGAGGGACGAAAGCGUGGGGAGCGAACAGGAUUAGAAACCCCGGUAGUCC
RNAcentral lists this ribosomal RNA (274 nucleotides) under uncultured bacterium. Its description in RNAcentral is "partial 16S ribosomal RNA". It matches the Rfam family "Bacterial small subunit ribosomal RNA", at positions 523 to 796 of the family's 1533-position model. The record is from RNAcentral.